UUCAUCAGUGAAAAAGUCAGCCUCCAGAGCCAAUUCCUGAGGAAAGGAAUGCCAGCCCAGCCUCCUCCCCGCCAGCAGGCACAAGCCUUGGGGAGACUCCUGCACUCCUGUUCUGUAUACACCUCACUGGAGACCCUGCAGGAUGGAGGAGAAGACAGAGGAGAGGCCCGUGGAUGGGCUGACAGCCUUGACUCAGACGGCCUGGGUUCAGAUCCCAGCUCUGCCCUUGCCUAAAACCUGAACCACUACAUUCUUAUCUGUGUAACAGGAGCCAUUCCCACCUCCAUGAACCAUGAAGACUAAAUGGGACUUGGAUAUGA
Long non-coding RNA from Camelus dromedarius (Arabian camel), 320 nucleotides. RefSeq lists it as uncharacterized. NCBI's taxonomy places the organism in Eukaryota, Metazoa, Chordata, Mammalia, Artiodactyla, Camelidae. The transcript has 2 exons. The record is from RefSeq and is a predicted model, not a curated record.